Long non-coding RNA from Alosa sapidissima (American shad), 1455 nucleotides. RefSeq lists it as uncharacterized. Lineage: Eukaryota; Metazoa; Chordata; Actinopteri; Clupeiformes; Clupeidae. The transcript has 3 exons. The record is from RefSeq and is a predicted model, not a curated record.
ACACCACAUUUGCAAUUUGCACAUUUGAAAUUUGCAAAUUUCUUGCGUCUUUUUGAACGCCAUCUUGGAAAAUGGCCAGCAUUUUAAAUGGCAAAUCAAGUGGAUUUGAUUGUAUUGGUCUUGAUCACAUCCAUGCCAAAUUUCAUGCGUCCAUCAUAAUUUGCUUUGACAAUUCUGUGCAAUAAAUCAAUUUCUAGGGUCUUUUUUUGGCAGCCAUCUUGGAAAAUGGCAACCAUUUCAAGUGGCCAAUCAGGUAGAUUUCAUUGUAUUGCUCUUGAGCACAUACAUGUUGAGUUUCGUGCUUGUAACAUAAUUUGCUAGGUCAAUUCUAUGCUAUAAAACAAUUUCUGAAGUCUUUUUUGGCGGCCAUCUUGGAAAAUGGCCACCAUUUCAAGUGGCCAAUCAGGUAGAUUUGAUUGUAUUGGUCAUAAGAACAUACCUACCAAGUUUCAUGCUUGUAUCACAAUUUGCACGAUUCUUGCCAAAUUGGCCUUGUAGCCGCUCUACUAUAAAAGUCGCAGAUGAACAGGGCGGAUGAGGAUGUCUUUCCAGAACUUGCAACCGAAGCAAUGUGUUUUGCCAUCUCUACUGAUGAUGUCAUCCUACUUGCAGAAUCAUCCAAGAACAUAGCUGACUGCUCACACCCAACAGAAUUUGCAGACUACUCCAACCUGAUAGAAUUUGUGACACUCGCACCUUGUGAUUUUACACUACUGCAGCUACAGUAGAUGGUGAAGGGUCUUCCUGCCCAAGUCUUACAGAUACGUUGUCCCUCUCAAGCAGUCUAAGCAGUCCUCAAAGUGAUGCUGGAUCUCAAAUGACUUGGACAUGGACAUCACCCGCGCAAAAAAAUUAAUCUUAUAACUUCCAUACUUUGUUGUGUUGGCCUUUCUUUGUUCUUGUUAGCCUUUCUUCAAAAUUAAUGUCUUAAUUUUGUCGUUAAUUGUUGUUUUGUAUUUUAAGUGAAAACAUCCCUAGAAAGAUACUGGUUCUAGAAAUGGAUAGAUUAAGACAUUUCAAAUCUUUUAAUGCUCAAAUGUCCUAUGGGUGUGAUUGUAUGUUGUGUCAGAGGGUUGUAUUUUUUAAUGUAUCAACAUUGCUGACUUAAUAUAAGCUAUAUGGAAUUCACUCUUGUUCUUAUGUACAUGUUUAUGUACUUAAAUUACAACUUUAAAGUCUACCUCAUGUUAAUACAUUACUGCAUCACAGAAAAGUUCUUUGUUAUCUUGUCAGCAAUGCUUUUAUACAAUGUUUGCACUUUCUGCAUACAGAGAUGUGGUGCUGACAUGAUUUUUUAAAAUAUAUAACUGCUUGUCAAUUAAGCAGUUUGUUUUAAAUAUGAAAUUGGGUCCACACUAAUCACAAUAUGUUUGGUUGGUUGGCUGUAACAUGUUUAAACAGUUUGUCAUUCAAAAUGUCAAACAUGAAUUUAAAAUAAAAAUGUGUGGUAAUGAA